UGGGGAAUUUUGGACAAUGGGCGAAAGCCUGAUCCAGCCAUGCCGCGUGAGUGAAGAAGGCCUUCGGGUUGUAAAGCUCUUUUAGUCGGAAAGAAAAGAUCAUAAUGAACAAUUAUGAUUCAUGACGGUACCGACAGAAAAAGCACCGGCUAACUACGUGCCAGCAGCCGCGGUAAUACGUAGGGUGCGAGCGUUAAUCGGAAUUACUGGGCGUAAAGGGUGCGCAGGCGGUCUUGCAAGUCAGAUGUGAAAGCCCCGGGCUUAACCUGGGAAUUGCGUUUGAAACUACAAGGCUAGAGUGCAGCAGAGGGGAGUGGAAUUCCAUGUGUAGCAGUGAAAUGCGUAGAGAUGUGGAAGAACACCGAUGGCGAAGGCAGCUCCCUGGGUUGACACUGACGCUCAUGCACGAAAGCGUGGGGAGCAAACA
RNAcentral lists this ribosomal RNA (427 nucleotides) under uncultured beta proteobacterium. Its description in RNAcentral is "bacterial SSU rRNA". It matches the Rfam family "Bacterial small subunit ribosomal RNA", at positions 355 to 774 of the family's 1533-position model. The record is from RNAcentral. Lineage: Bacteria; Pseudomonadati; Pseudomonadota; Betaproteobacteria.